UUUAAGGUCUAACCUGCCCAAUGAGGAUUUAAAUGGCCGCAGUAUUUUGACUGUGCAAAGGUAGCAUAAUUAUUAGUUUUUUAAUUGAAAGCUUGUAUGAAGGGUUGGACGAGAUAAAAUCUGUCUUUAUUUAAAUUAAAGUAUAAUUUAACUUUUAAGUCAAAAGGCUUAAAUGUUUAUAAAAGACGAGAAGACCCUAUAGAUCUUUAUUUAGUUAAGAUUUUAAUAAUUUAGGAUUAUUUUAAUUUGGAGUUUUAAUUAAAUUUUAUUGGGGUAAUAUAAAGAUUAAAUUAAUUCUUUUUAUUUAUAACAUUAAUUUAUGAAUAUGUGAUCCAUUAAUAUUGAUUAUAAGAUUAAGUUACCUUAGGGAUAACAGCGUAAUUUUUUUGGAGAGCUCAUAUCGAUAAGAAAGUUUGCGACCUCGAUGUUGGAUUAAAAAUUAGCUUGGGUGCAGAAGCUCAAGAUUUUGGUCUGUUCGACCAUUAAAUUUUUACAUGAUCUGAGUUCAGACCGGCGUAAGCCAGGUCGGUUUCUAUCUUUAUUCAGAUAAAAUAUUUUAGUACGAAAGGACCAAGUAUUUAAUAUAAUUAUAUUUAUUUUUUGAAGAAUAUU
This 612-nucleotide ribosomal RNA is filed under the name Cicindela (Rivacindela) sp. JP-205. Its description in RNAcentral is "partial 16S ribosomal RNA". It matches the Rfam family "Bacterial large subunit ribosomal RNA", at positions 1844 to 2739 of the family's 2925-position model. The record is from RNAcentral. Lineage: Eukaryota; Metazoa; Arthropoda; Insecta; Coleoptera; Carabidae.